Molecule: RNA transcript, 4502 nt
Organism: Papaver somniferum (opium poppy)
Lineage: Eukaryota; Viridiplantae; Streptophyta; Magnoliopsida; Ranunculales; Papaveraceae
Gene name: protein ASPARTIC PROTEASE IN GUARD CELL 1-like
Exons: 2
Source: RefSeq, a predicted model, not a curated record
CCAAUGUGCCAAAAUAUCUAUCUCUUAAAGAAAAUUAGGUGUAUUAAAUAGGUCAGAUUGGAACAGCAGGCUGAUAAAUGAGUGGUUAGGCAACAAGGGACAAUAUAUCAGAGCAAUCGACUGUGGGUCACAAUUUCAUCGACUGUGGUCAGGCUGAUAGUGCAGUUCACAUGGGUUAUAUAGGAAUGAUCUCCCUGCGUCAGUCCCUACAAAUUUUUUUCUAUCAAGAAGUUGAGUUGUUCUUGAGUUAGCUUGGUUGUGGGACUCUUCUCUGUUCCUUUUUUUUUUAAUAGAAAAAAAUAAGGGUGAAAACCUUGCUGAGGAGUUACAAGAAUCAGGGCCUGAGAGGUUUCAACUGGUAACUUUAAAAUGAGAGUCAGGCUCCUCGUCUACUAGGCUAGCCCCAGUCGAUUGAAGUGGAUAGACCUCAAGAAUAAAAGUCAAGUUAGUCUAGUUAACAAAAGUUAUGGACCGGAUGAGCCGUGCCAUUUUAGUAAGAAGAAGAUAAUUAGCCAGAAAUUUGGAUUUGUGAAUUGUGAGUCUGUAUUGAUUUUAUGCUGUUAGGAAUUCUUGAAAGUAACCUCUUCUUCUUCUUCGAAAGUGGUUGGGAAUUUGGAUCCUCCUUAUGAAUUGUACGUACUAUAGCAAGUUGAGGGUGGUGUUAUAUAGUAAACCAGACAGAUGGUUAACUAGUUAUGAUUCCAUGGCUACCCAAAAUAAAGAAGAUCAGAAGCUUCAUAUUGUUAUGAUUCCUUGGUUAGCUUUUGGUCAUUUGAUACCAUUUCUUGAGCUCUCCGACUCCUUGGCUAAGUUGGGUCAUCGUAUCUCUUUUAUAUCUACCCCUCGAAAUCUCGAAAGACUCGUUCAAGUUCAGUCUUCUCCUUCCUUAUUCAUCAACUUCGUUUCUUUUCCAUUACCCAAAGUUGAAAACUUACGUGACCAAGCGGAGUCCACCACCGACCUUCCUGUAGAUGAAGUUCCGUACUUGAAGAAAUCUUAUGACAGUUUGGAAGGUCCGCUGUCGAUAUCCCUGCAAACUUCAAGACCAGAUUGGAUUAUUUACGACUUCGCUCCUCACUGGGUGCCACCCAUCGCAUCAAGGCUAGGCAUUCCUUGUUGCUUCUUUAGCAUAUUCAUCGCAUCCGUCCACUGUUUCUUCGGGAAUCCAUCGGGUUAUACGGAGAGUAAUGAUUCUGUCACUAGGACGGCGCUGGAGGAUUUCACUGUUUCUCCCGAUUGGAUCCCGUUUCCAACUAAUUUGGCUUUUCGGAUCCAUGAAAUCCGUAAACUCUUCAGCAAUGUUGAAGUAAACGGGUCAGGAGUCUCGGACCUAAGUCGAUUUGGAAGUAGCAUACAAGGCUGUCAAGUCGUGGCUAUUCGAACUUGUAUGGAAUUCGAAUCCGAGCACCUGUGUCUCCUCGAAAAGCUUUAUGAAAAGCCAAUCAUCCCAGUAGGCUUACUCGCUCCUCUUCCUCCAUCACCAGACGACGUAAAUGACACUAAUCAUGAAGAGUGGAUGAGGAUGAAGGGAUGGCUUGACAGACAAGAGCAAAAAUCAGUGGUUUAUAUAGCACUGGGAAGUGAAGCAACAUUAAGUCAAUCAGAAAUAACUGAGUUAGCUCUUGGUUUAGAGUUAUCCAAGUUAGCAUUUUUCUGGGUUCUAAGAUCGACCGAGGAGAUGUUACCGGUAGGAUUUGCGGAAAGGAGUAGAGGAAAUGGAUUUAUGUGGUUCAGUUGGGCACCUCAAAUGAGAAUAUUGGAACACCCAUCAAUAGGAUGUUUCUUGAAUCACUGUGGUUGGAGUUCUGUGAUUGAAGCACUUGGGUUCGGUUGUCCUUUAAUUUUGUUGCCGAUGAUAAAUGACCAGCCAUUGAAUGCAAGAACACUGGUGUGGAAAGAGAUGGAGUUAGAGAUUGAAAGAAAUGAAGAAGAUGGGACUUUUACCAGAGAGUCAGUUGCUAAGUCAUUGAGGACAGUAAUGGUAGAUGAAGAUGGUGAAAAAUACAGAUUUAAAGCUAGAGAAUUGAAACAAGUGUUUGGUAAUAAGUCACUAAAUGAUGGAUAUGUUAACAGAUUUUCGCAAUAUCUUAGGGAACAUCGCCAAAUUAGCCAGUGACAGACUUUUCUAGCUUGUCUUGUUUUAUCUUGUUUGUUAAAUGGUAUGGUUCGUAGUGAAGAAUAAAAGUCCUCCGUCUUGUUAUUAUGUGCUACCUCCGUUUCUGGAAAUGACCAGGCCAAGUUGAAAAAGUGACAAUAACUCUUUUCCAGAAACAGAGGGAGUUUUUUGUUUGUUUUCUGAAGCAUUAAAUUUUCAAUGUGCCAGAAUAUCCAACUCUUAAAGAAGAUUAGGUGUGUUAAAUAGGUCAGACAUGGCAUAGUAUAUAAGAACAAUCAAUGUGGGUCACAAUUUCAUCCCAAUCCAAGCAACCUGUUCCUCUUCCAUUUCUCUGCACAAAAAAAUAUCAAGAAGUUGAGUUAGCCUAGUUGCUGGGGUGGGGGACUGGCUCUCAUAAUUGAGAUCAAGGCCGGAAUCCCUGAGUUAGCCUAGUAGCUGGGUUGAGGGAUUGAACAGAGAUCAAGCUCGAAAUUCCGCACAUAAAUUUCCUACUCACCUAGAUGUAAUUAUCAUUUUUCUUUUUUUUUUAGAAACAUGAGAGGGGAUUUUACGGAGUGCCCGAGUUUUAGAGUGAAAUUUUAUCAGCAAACCUCAAAUGUGAGAGUAAUCUUCUGGAAUACUGGCUAGUCCCAGUUGGUUUAAUUGUAAGUUACCCCUACAUGGUGAACUAGAGCGGAAAGUAUAUAGACUAGAUCGGCUGACCUCAAGAAUGAAAGUAAGGCUCCUGUGUCCGGACUAACUAGGCUAGGCGAAGUUGGUUUAGUUGCCCACUCGCUAUAGUAGAGACUAGAUGUGAAAAUCCCCAAUUCCUUCUUUUUCAAAACCCUAAUUCCUCUCUAAGAAGAGGAGAAUUAGCAGACAUGUAGUUUCUUACAAGAAUUUCAAUGGAUAUUUUACCAAUUUGUUCUGUUUUGUUACUUGAAUUGAUUGUGUGCCAUCUGAAGUUGAGUGUUUAUACUGUUUGUUAUAAUGUCUGUAUGAAAUGUGGCGUUUUGAAACUCUGUUAGAAGCAUGUCUAACUUAUUGAAUCUUAUACUAUCAAAAGCGAAGUGCAGCAAAUGCAAACUCAGAUCCAAGGCUCGAGCAGGCAGUAUUUGGAUAAUCGGCAAAUAUUGGUCACUUGGUGAUUCGGGCGGGUUGGCGGGUUGUAGUAACAAAACGUGUCGUUAUCUAGCAUUUUAUGGUGAUGGUUCUUAUACAGUUGGUGAAUUCGUGACAGAAACCCUAAUGUUUGAUACCUCGCGUACCAGCCUUGAAAAUAUCUAUAUAGGUUGCGGUCAUGAUAAUAGAGGUCUAUUUACCGGUGCAGCUGGUUUGUUAGCUCUUGGACGCGGCGCAGUUUCAUUUCCUUCUCAAGUAAAUGCUACUGCAUUUUCUUAUUGUAUAGUCGAUCGUGAUUCUAAUUUUUCUUCAGAUUUACAAUUCGGCUCAGGGACAGAACCAGCUGACGCAAUUACUGCCCCAUUACUUAGUCACCCGCUGUAUCCUACUUUCUAUUACGUGAAUUUAACUGGUAUUAGCGUUGGAGGUCAACUGUUGAAUCUACCCCAGUCAGUUUUCGACAUAAAUCCGAGUAUACCCAGUGGAGUUAUUGUUGACACGGGAACAGGAAUAACUAGGUUACGAGCCGACGUGUACCUUGCACUACGUGAUGCUUUUGUCAAAGCCACAUAUAACUUAACCUCUGCUGGCGGAUUCGCUCUGUUUGAUACUUGCUAUGAUCUAUCACUAGAAACUUUGGUUUCUGUUCCAGCUGUUGCAUUUUGGUUUCCCGGUGGAAAAUCCUUGGUUUUACCAGCCAAGAAUCUUUUGGUACCUGUUGAUGACAAGAAAACCUUCUGUUUCGCUUUUGCAGCAUCUAAUUCUGAAGUGUCUAUUAUAGGUAAUCUGCAACAGCAAGGGAUUCGUGUCAGCUUUAAUAUUGCUACUUCUGUUGUUGGGUUUUCUCCUAACAGAUGCUAGCAGGCAAAGUUACCUGCAAGUGCACUGAUCUGCCGCCUUCACAGGUAUAAGCUUCUUCUUAUACAAGCACUACUAGCUAGAAGUUGAGACGUUGGGCCUUGAAGAAGGACAAAUUUUGCCAUGAGGUGACAAAGAACGCACUGUUCUUACAGAAGGUAAAUUAGCUAGAACUUCAUUGUCAUUAAGUACUAAUUAAGAACAAUAAUUGAUAACUCUAAGUGAACCUCUCAACUACACCUAAUGUGGGUAGUAUAUUAGGUGUAACAAUUAGUUGAUAAUUAAGAGUACAAUUUUAUUUAUGGCAAUUAAAAAGUUGUUAAUAAUUAAUAUUAUGGUUGAUUAUUUAUUAAGUUUAGUGGUCAAGUCUCUUUUACUUUUCUGAAAUUUUCUGUACUUGUUCAUACUUGUAAAGAAAAAGGAAUAA